CCCAAGCAUAGCUCAGUCAGUACAGCAUGAGCCUCUUAAUCUCAGGGUUGUGGGUUAAAGUCCCAUGUUUGGCG
Non-coding RNA from Podarcis lilfordi (Lilford's wall lizard), 74 nucleotides. The record is from the annotation of a GenBank genome assembly. Lineage: Eukaryota; Metazoa; Chordata; Lepidosauria; Squamata; Lacertidae.